GUCGAGAAUCUUUCACAAUGGGGGCAACCCUGAUGGAGCGACGCCGCGUGGAGGAUAAGGUCUUCGGAUUGUAAACUCUUGUCAUGCGUGAACAAGGUUGCUUGGUUAAUACCUGGGCAAAUUGAUGGUAACGCAAGAGGAAGAGACGGCUAACUCUGUGCCAGCAGCCGCGGUAAUACAGAGGUCUCAAGCGUUGUUCGGAAUCACUGGGCGUAAAGGGUGCGUAGGUGGCGUGGUAAGUCAGAUGUGAAAGCCCGGGGCUCAACCUCGGAACUGCAUCCGAUACUGCCAUGCUAGAGUACUGGAGAGGUGACUAGAAUUCUCGGUGUAGCAGUGAAAUGCGUAGAUAUCGAGAGGAAUACCAAAGGCGUAGGCAGGUCACUGGACAGUUACUGACACUGAGGCACGAAGGCCAGGGGAGCGAACGGGAUUAGAUACCCUGGUAGUCC
This 449-nucleotide ribosomal RNA is filed under the name uncultured bacterium. RNAcentral describes it as "partial 16S ribosomal RNA". It matches the Rfam family "Bacterial small subunit ribosomal RNA", at positions 354 to 796 of the family's 1533-position model. The record is from RNAcentral.